Molecule: long non-coding RNA, 581 nt
Organism: Canis lupus familiaris (dog)
Lineage: Eukaryota; Metazoa; Chordata; Mammalia; Carnivora; Canidae
Exons: 2
Source: RefSeq, a predicted model, not a curated record
CACCCGAGGCUACUUCCGGCCUCCUAGGCCCGGAAGAACCAGCUUCCUGGACGCGGAAUCCUGGGUCGUCUCUUCCCUGGUGCGGGGGUGGGGGGGCCACUGGGUCCUUGGCCCUGUUCCCGGCUCCCUGCUGAGGGGCUUGUAGAGGCCGGACCAGAAGAAGAAAGGUGAUAAGACCGAGGGCCGAGAAUUUCGCGGAGGUAGCCGCGUAUUUCUUCCCUGAGGAAUGGGGGUGUCUCCGGCCCCCGCCGAGGCCGGUGUGCCGGGACGUGAUCCGGGAGACCUAUAGCCAACCUGGCUGCGCUCGGCCGGACUACUCUCCAGUGCCUUCCCAGGACUUUCUGCAAAACGUUCAGAAUCUGUGUACUACGGCGUCAAGGCCCGUGGCCUGCUAACCUCCAAUUCAAACGCAAUCUCUCCCUACAAACAAAUGAUCCCAUCGGUUCCAGCUACAAGGAAUCUGUUUUUUGGACAUCUAACUUAAUGAGCUAAUCUAACACCUUUCAAUGCCCUUUUCAAAUGCCGUUUUUAAUAAAUUCCCCCUGGAACUCUUCUGCCCCAUGCAGGAAGUCUCAGCUGCA